AAACAGUGAUAAAAUCCAUGAGAGUACUCUGCUGAUUACCAGAGAUCCUGGUUUUCUUAACCCUAAAUCCACACUCAUAUACAUAUAUAGUAGAUUUGGGAUGAAGCA
Molecule: long non-coding RNA, 108 nt
Organism: Gavialis gangeticus (Gharial)
Lineage: Eukaryota; Metazoa; Chordata; Crocodylia; Gavialidae
Exons: 3
Source: RefSeq, a predicted model, not a curated record